AUUGAACGCUGGCGGCAUGCCUUACACAUGCAAGUCGAACGGUAACGGGCCUUCGGGUGCCGACGAGUGGCGAACGGGUGAGUAACGCAUCGGAACGUGCCAUUGAGUGGGGGAUAACUAUCCGAAAGGAUAGCUAAUACCGCAUAUUCUGUGCGCAGGAAAGCAGGGGAUUGUAAGACCUUGUGCUCUUUGAGCGGCCGAUGUCAGAUUAGCUAGUUGGUGGGGUAAAGGCCCACCAAGGCGAUGAUCUGUAGCGGGUCUGAGAGGAUGAUCCGCUAUACUGGGACUGAGACACGGCCCAGACUCCUACGGGAGGCAGCAGUGGGGAAUUUUGGACAAUGGGGGCAACCCUGAUCCAGCCAUGCCGCGUGAGUGAAGAAGGCCUUCGGGUUGUAAAGCUCUUUCGGCCGGGAAGAAAUCGGUGGGGCUAAUAUCCCUACUGGAUGACGGUACCGGACUAAGAAGCACCGGCUAACUACGUGCCAGCAGCUGCGGUAAUACGUAGGGUGCGAGCGUUAAUCGGAAUUACUGGGCGUAAAGCGUGCGCAGGCGGUUUGUUAAGACAGGCGUGAAAUCCCCGGGCUUAACCUGGGAACUGCGCUUGUGACUGGCAGGCUAGAGUACGGCAGAGGGGGGUGGAAUUCCACGUGUAGCAGUGAAAUGCGUAGAGAUGUGGAGGAACACCGAUGGCGAAGGCAGCCCCCUGGGCCGAUACUGACGCUCAUGCACGAAAGCGUGGGGAGCAAACAGGAUUAGAUACCCUGGUAGUCCACGCCCUAAACGAUGUCAACUAGGUGUUGGGUGGGUAAAACCAUUUAGUACCGGAGCUAAUGCGUGAAGUUGACCGCCUGGGGAGUACGGCCGCAAGGUUA
RNAcentral lists this ribosomal RNA (872 nucleotides) under uncultured bacterium. Its description in RNAcentral is "bacterial SSU rRNA". It matches the Rfam family "Bacterial small subunit ribosomal RNA", at positions 28 to 896 of the family's 1533-position model. The record is from RNAcentral.